ACAUGCAGAGAACUUUCCAGAGAUGGAUUGGUGGCCUUCGGGAACGUCUGACACAGGUGCUGCAUGGCUGUCGUCAGCUCGUGUCGUGAGAUGUUGGGUUAAGUCCCGUAAUGAGCGCAACCCUUGUCCUUAGUUACCAGCACGUUAUGGUGGGCACUCUAAGGAGACUGCCGGUGACAAACCGGAGGAAGGUGGGGAUGACGUCAAGCCAUCAUGGCCCUUACGGCCUGGGCUACACACGUGCUACAAUGGUCGGUACAAAGGGUUGCCAAGCCGCGAGGUGGAGCUAAUCCCAUAAAACCGAUCGUAGUCCGGAUCGCAGUCUGCAACUCGACUGCGCGAAGUCGGAAUCGCUAGUAAUCGUGAAUCAGAAUGUCACGGUGAAUACGUUCCCGGGCCUU
This 401-nucleotide ribosomal RNA is filed under the name uncultured Pseudomonas sp. Its description in RNAcentral is "bacterial SSU rRNA". It matches the Rfam family "Bacterial small subunit ribosomal RNA", at positions 984 to 1382 of the family's 1533-position model. Lineage: Bacteria; Pseudomonadati; Pseudomonadota; Gammaproteobacteria; Pseudomonadales; Pseudomonadaceae. The record is from RNAcentral.